This 30-nucleotide non-coding RNA is filed under the name Mus musculus (house mouse). The record is from RNAcentral. Lineage: Eukaryota; Metazoa; Chordata; Mammalia; Rodentia; Muridae.
UGUAAUGGGGUUCUGAUGUCCUCUUCUGGU